AGGAGCAGUUGGUAAAAAUUUCAAAGAGGCAUAUCUAGCUUUGAUAUGAGAAUGUUUCCUAAGAAUGAGAGCUAUCUGUCCCUUCAAUGCACGGCUAUGGGAGACUCAUGGAGGUCUUCAAGCAAAGUCUGAAUAACCACUUGUCAGAAUUUCCUCCCUAUACCAAGUAGGAGAUGCAUGGAGUUUUCACAUUGGAGUGUAAUUAAGAAGAGACAGCAGGGUUCAGGACACAGCAAAUGCUCACAAAUGGAACAUAAUUUGAGAAACAGCAGGGUAGAUGCUGAGAAUAUUGAACUUGGAGCCCAAAAAUAUUCAUUGCAGACAUCUCAAAAACUCAUUAGCUGUGUGAUCAUUGAAAAAAAAAACACCUCCGUGCCUCAGUUUCCACAACCAUAAAAUAGGAUGAGGGGAGGUAAUAAUACCUAUGGUACCUAUCUUGCAGUGUUUGUGAAGCUUAAAUGUGAUAAUGAAUUUGCAAAUCAUGAAAUGCUAAACAGCUUGAGUAAUAAUUGGAUACCUACUAUGUGUCUUGUUCUAUUUUUAUACUCAAAAGAGGCUAUACAUAACAACUAUACAGUGUGGUCCCUGAGCCCAAGGAUCAAACAACCGAGUGUGAGAGGUAGGGCUUUCUUUGAAAAAUUAUUUGAAACAUUAUUAACAAAAACAAAUGUUCAAAUUCACAAAAAAGUAUAUUUGAAAACAUGAACUCCGCUAUUUAUGCUUUUAAAAAAUUAACAAGAUAGUAACAAAAAAAUUCCAGUUAUUUCCAUGUUCACAUUGUAAAGUGCAUUGCAAAUUUUCUAUUGCUAAUAAAUGGUAGCUAUUAUUAUUUCCUCAAGUA
This is a non-coding RNA of Phascolarctos cinereus (koala), 841 nucleotides long. The record is from RefSeq and is a predicted model, not a curated record. NCBI's taxonomy places the organism in Eukaryota, Metazoa, Chordata, Mammalia, Diprotodontia, Phascolarctidae.